UGGGGAAUAUUGGACAAUGGGCGAAAGCCUGAUCCAGCCAUGCCGCGUGUGUGAAGAAGGCCCUCGGGUUGUAAAGCACUUUCAGUGGGGAAGAAAGCCUUGGGAUUAAUACUCCCGAGGAAGGACAUCACCCACAGAAGAAGCACCGGCUAACUCCGUGCCAGCAGCCGCGGUAAUACGGAGGGUGCGAGCGUUAAUCGGAAUUACUGGGCGUAAAGCGCGCGUAGGCGGUCUGAUCAGCCGGUUGUGAAAGCCCCGGGCUCAACCUGGGAACGGCAUCCGGAACUGUCAGGCUAGAGUGCAGGAGAGGAAGGUAGAAUUCCCGGUGUAGCGGUGAAAUGCGUAGAGAUCGGGAGGAAUACCAGUGGCGAAGGCGGCCUUCUGGACUGACACUGACGCUGAGGUGCGAAAGCGUGGGUAGCAAACA
RNAcentral lists this ribosomal RNA (427 nucleotides) under uncultured Halomonas sp. RNAcentral describes it as "bacterial SSU rRNA". It matches the Rfam family "Bacterial small subunit ribosomal RNA", at positions 355 to 774 of the family's 1533-position model. The record is from RNAcentral. Lineage: Bacteria; Pseudomonadati; Pseudomonadota; Gammaproteobacteria; Oceanospirillales; Halomonadaceae.